This 1343-nucleotide ribosomal RNA is filed under the name uncultured bacterium. Its description in RNAcentral is "16S ribosomal RNA". It matches the Rfam family "Bacterial small subunit ribosomal RNA", at positions 28 to 1378 of the family's 1533-position model. The record is from RNAcentral.
GACGAACGUUUGCGGCGUGCUUAACACAUGCAAGUCGAACGGAAAGGCCCUGCUUUUGUGGGGUGCUCGAGUGGCGAACGGGUGAGUAACACGUGAGUAACCUGCCCUUGACUUUGGGAUAACUUCAGGAAACUGGGGCUAAUACCGGAUAGGAGCUCCUGCUGCAUGGUGGGGGUUGGAAAGUUUCGGCGGUUGGGGAUGGACUCGCGGCUUAUCAGCUUGUUGGUGGGGUAGUGGCUUACCAAGGCUUUGACGGGUAGCCGGCCUGAGAGGGUGACCGGCCACAUUGGGACUGAGAUACGGCCCAGACUCCUACGGGAGGCAGCAGUGGGGAAUAUUGCACAAUGGGCGGAAGCCUGAUGCAGCAACGCCGCGUGCGGGAUGACGGCCUUCGGGUUGUAAACCGCUUUCGCCUGUGACGAAGCGUGAGUGACGGUAAUGGGUAAAGAAGCACCGGCUAACUACGUGCCAGCAGCCGCGGUGAUACGUAGGGUGCGAGCGUUGUCCGGAUUUAUUGGGCGUAAAGGGCUCGUAGGUGGUUGAUCGCGUCGGAAGUGUAAUCUUGGGGCUUAACCCUGAGCGUGCCUUCGAUACGGGUUGACUUGAGGAAGGUAGGGGAGAAUGGAAUUCCUGGUGGAGCGGUGGAAUGCGCAGAUAUCAGGAGGAACACCAGUGGCGAAGGCGGUUCUCUGGGCCUUUCCUGACGCUGAGGAGCGAAAGCGUGGGGAGCGAACAGGCUUAGAUACCCUGGUAGUCCACGCUGUAAACGGUGGGUACUAGGUGUGGGGUCCAUUCCACGGGUUCCGUGCCGUAGCUAACGCUUUAAGUACCCCGCCUGGGGAGUACGGCCGCAAGGCUGAAACUCAAAGGAAUUGACGGGGCCCCGCACAAGCGGCGGAGCAUGCGGAUUAAUUCGAUGCAACGCGUAGAACCUUACCUGGGUUUGACAUGGAUCGGGAGUGCUCAGAGAUGGGUGUGCCUCUUUUGGGGUCGGUUCACAGGUGGUGCAUGGCUGUCGUCAGCUCGUGUCGUGAGGUGUUGGGUUAAGUCCCGCAACGAGCGCAACCCUUGUUCACUGUUGCCAGCACGUUAUGGUGGGGACUCAGUGGAGACCGCCGGGGUCAACUCGGAGGAAGGUGGGGAUGACGUCAAGUCAUCAUGCCCCUUAUGUCCAGGGCUUCACGCAUGCUACAAUGGCUGGUACAGAGAGUGGCGAGCCUGUGAGGGUGAGCGAAUCUCGGAAAGCCGGUCUCAGUUCGGAUUGGGGUCUGCAACUCGACCUCAUGAAGUCGGAGUCGCUAGUAAUCGCAGAUCAGCAACGCUGCGGUGAAUACGUUCCCGGG